Molecule: long non-coding RNA, 3986 nt
Filed under: Capsicum annuum
Lineage: Eukaryota; Viridiplantae; Streptophyta; Magnoliopsida; Solanales; Solanaceae
Description: long non-coding RNA (CANN_LNC001910)
Source: RNAcentral
UCCACUUUGUCCAAUUGAUUGAAGUGAGGCCAUUUUAUUAAUGUAAAUGGCUAUAAUAUUUAAUUGGACUUUUUCAUUUUCUUUUCUUAAUUUUUCAGCCCAACAAACACCCUUAUACUGCAGCCUAACAACUACAACAUCCCUUCUCUUCUCCUUAACCCAUCAACUCGACUUCAACAUCAACACAGCAACGAUAAAACAACAACAAACAACGUUUCAACAUUAGCAAAUAACUGAUACAACACAACUUUCAGCCAAACCAACGAUAAAAAACAACCAAGGACAACAAUACCCGACCCGACGACAACACAACAAACGGUGAAACCCGCGACCCGACCAAACGGACCCAAUUCCAGCGAACCAACUUCAACCCGACAACAAUACCCGACCCGACGACAACACAACAAAUUCAACCAAACAAACCCCUUAAAUCACGGAAAACAUCUCUCUCCAUCUUAUCUCUGUAAUUUUGCAGACCUAAAGCCAUUGUUGUUGACUUUUGGCUCAAGAUUGUGUGUCUUCAAUUCCAAAAUUCAAUCCAAAUCAGAAAGUGUCAAUUCAAAUCUGAAAAUUAGGAAUAAUUCUCUAUUUUAAAGGGCUUAAGUCAUCGACAGGCCCUCAAACUUGUUUUGAAAAUUCACUUAAAUCCUUCAACUAAGGCUUGUAAUCAGGCCCCUAACCCACCCGAAUUUUGAUCCAAUUGGACCUUUUUGUUCCAAUCAGCUAAAAUCUUAAGUGUGUGUAAUACACACAUAAUGAUGUGGCAAAAAGGGUUAAUUGAAAGUUGACACGUGACAUUAUGGGUCCAAUAAUUAUUAAAAACUAAUUAUAAAUUUUUUUAAAAAAUAAAAAUAAAAAUUGAUUCCUUCAACCCUCACCCCACCNNNNNNNNNNNNNNNNNNNNNNNNNNNNNNNNNNNNNNNNNNNNNNNNNNNNNNNNNNNNNNNNNNNNNNNNNNNNNNNNNNNNNNNNNNNNNNNNNNNNNNAUUCUGUAAGAAGCAGAACUUUAAAAGAAAAAAAAAAAUUAAGUUCUCCAUUUUCUGCAAAAAGCUGAACUUUAAAAAAAAAAAACAGUUCUCAUGAUACUUUCUCCAUUAAGGAUACCAAUUUCUUCAUUUUUUUUGUAAGAAAAUGAUUCCCCAUUAUAUUGGAUUUGAGUUAUUUAAGUUCACAAACAUGUAAUUUCGAACAAUCUUGAAAUUUCGAAGUUGAUUUUUCGGUGAGUCUCGCCUAAAAAUGCAUUCGAAUACGGUUAAAGAAUACGAUGACUGAGGUUGUGGUUUGCAAAGGAAGACGAUGAUGAUGGAGGGUUGUGAAGAAGACGAUGAAUGGGGGCAGCGGGUUGCGAAAAAGACGAUGAAAGGGGGUAGGUGGGAGAAGAAGACGAUGAAAAAGGAGGGUGGGGGGGUUUCUUUUCUUUUUUUAAAUAAAAAACUUAUAAUAAUUAAAAAUUAUAUUAAUAAAAUGAUUUAAAUAUAAGUUUUUAAAUUAAAAAAAAAAAGUAAAACAUUAUUUAAUCUACUGUUCACGCGUCCAAGGAGAGUGUAAAUCAACAUUUUGUGUCUGAUAUGUACCAAUUUUAGCAGUUGAGGGGCUUGAUUGGUACAGACCUUAGUUGAGGGAUCUAAGUGAAUUUUCGGGACAAGUUUAAGGGUCUGUAGAUGACUUAAGCCAUUUUACAAAUGGAAAAUCAAUAUUUUCCCCCUAUAAAAAUAUAUUGAGGGGAAGAAGGCAAAGGAGGACUUUUUUGGGAAAAAAAUUAAAGGUUUUGAAGGCGUGUACCUUUAACCUUACGUAACCAAAAAGUCUGAAAAGAAAGGCUCGACAAGUCAGAAUUUUAACUCCAAUAGUGAAUUCGUCGUCGACUCGUUGUUCUCAUUCGCUGCCCGGAAAAAGGCGAACACAUCUUCCUUUUCUUUUCUUUUAGUUGAUCAUUCUUCAUCGUCUUCGUUAAAGACUUCUUCCUAAUCGUAAUUGCUGGGACUGUUUGUUGUAGAAAUCCAGAAUUUUAUUGUGUUUUUCUUGUUGUUUCGAUAAUUAAAACUUCACUGUGAUUGAGAAUGAAAUGGUGUCUACUGUGUGAUUUGAGUUUGGUUGAAUUAAGGUCCUUUAAGUUGUGGUUUGUCAGAUUACUUAGGUUAAGUGUUUCCUCUUGACAAAAAUAUAUUUGAAGGUGGUUUUUAUAUUGUUGUACAUAUUCUAUUCGCCCUUUUGAUCAUAGUUGCAGGUCUGCUCUUUGGUGCUGCUCAUAUCCAUUUUAGUUUUAUGUCGGCCACUAUCAACCUUUGAAUAGUCAGUUUUCAGCAUGUUAUUAGUUUGAAAUUGCCUUGAUUGUUAUUUUUGUUUGAGUUCAUAUCUGGAUUUAUUUAAGUUUUGCUUGUAUUUCUCUGGAAAAUUCAUGUUUCGAGAAGUGUAUGUAAUUAAGGUUAAUCUUCUUCUCGUUGAUUUUUCUUUAGCUUAAUUACGAAGAAUAGACUAUGUGUGCAUACUGCUUCUCUGUCGAAAAUGCAUAUUUGUACGUGUUACUUUUGUUAGUAUUAGUUUUGAGUUAUAAUUCUCUCAACUCUCAUUUUAAUUAUUGAAAAUUUUCUUAUUUAAACUACUAUAUAAGAAGUUGAGAUCAAGUACAACUUUACCAUAUAAAAACUUGGCUUAUUUUACUGGAGUUAGAAUUCGGAAAUUUAGAGACCAAAAAUUACUUAGAUCUAGCUAGGAUCUGAUGGUUUAGAAUAAAAGGAUUUGGUUACAUAUGUAUAUAAAAUGAACCCUGUGUUUCUCUAUUGGAUCCUAUAGUAAUGAAUACAUACAUAUGUGUGCUCUGUCUUGUUUUUGUAAUGAAUAAUAAACUCUACUUACAACUACAGGUAUUAGUUAUUGAUUGUGAGUUUUAUUCUCAACCCCUUCUAUUUCUACUUUUUCUUGUUAGUUUAGUAUUGAUUCAAGUCAUAUCCUUGUAGUUAUUCAUGUUUUCUUAUCCUGUAUUUAUAUAAUUUAUUGUUGUAUGUCAAACCUACAAUUAUAAAAGUUUAUUAUUGCUUUACAUAUUAUUAUUUUCUUAAAUUCAAAUGUGAUUAAGAAUACUCGUGCAAUGCACGUAAGUAUAAACUAGUAUAUAAAAUAAAGAAGACUAUAAAGUUGUUCCUCGUCCGUCGCAAUUAGUUAUGUGUUGUUCGCCUACUUUGUGAAUACUACAACUCACAUCAUAUGAAUUUGAGGUCUUGUUUGAUGUGAUUAGUGUGUUUCGAAUCAAUCACUAAUUCUCAUAUUUUUCUUGAUGCAUGUGACGUUGACUUGAAUCCCAACGAACUCCAUUCCCUGCAUUUCUCAAUGGGCCAAGGAGGCCUACAUCUUCUACGAGUCCCAAAUGCCUUUAUUUUUGAAGAAACAAGGCUAGUAUACACUGAUAUACACCUAAAUACGCGGGUUACAGGUCAAAGGUGGUUGAUAUACGAUGCAUGCUGAAGCUGGGAGCGAGUAUACAUGAUUUUAUAUGCUGAUAUACAGUGUAUAUACAGAAAAUCGCAAGGAAAGGAGGCAGAGAUAUACACAAAGUAUACACUGCAGAGAAAUGGACUGAAGUCCAUAAUUCAAAGCCCAAAGCUGGGCAGCCUUAUUAAUGGGUCAAUUCCUAUUCUUGUAUUAUUUUUUUGCUAAAAAUGACACAAAUACAUAACUUAUGUUUUCAAUAUUACAAAAAAUCUCAACUCCCUAAACAUAUUACAAAAAUCUCACAUAUACUCAUAAUGCUAUGUACAUGUCGGCUAUGUUAUGUAUAUUAAUAGGGAGAGAGAGUAAACUAAUUAAAAAGGUGAGAGAGAGUGUAAUUACUUUUAAAAGAUUGGUAUUUAUGUUAUUUAUGCUUUUUUGUGGCUUAAAAUACAUCUUUGUUUAUGUGUACUAACUUUUUAACCAAUUAACCUAGACAAUUCCCUAAAGUGUUGUCAUUUUAUUUUAUCUUGAUUUUCUUUUACUUAAUUUAUAAUUUC